UGGGGAAUAUUGCGCAAUGGCCUAACGGCUGACGCAGCGACGCCGCGUGUGGGAGGACGCCCUUCGGGGUGUAAACCACUGUUGCCCGGGACGAACACCCUGAUUCUUCAGGGCUGACGGUACCGGGUGCGGAAGCACCGGCUAACUCCGUGCCAGCAGCCGCGGUAAUACGGAGGGUGCGAGCGUUGUCCGGAAUCACUGGGCGUAAAGGGCGCGUAGGUGGCCUCUUAAGUGUGUGGUGAAAGCCCGGGGCUCAACCCCGGGUCGGCCAUGCAAACUGGGGGGCUUGAGCAUUGUAGAGGCAGGCGGAAUUCCGGGUGUAGCGGUGGAAUGCGUAGAGAUCCGGAAGAACACCGGUGGCGAAGGCGGCCUGCUGGGCAGUUGCUGACACUGAGGCGCGACAGCGUGGGGAGCAAAC
Molecule: ribosomal RNA, 418 nt
Filed under: uncultured bacterium
Lineage: Bacteria
Description: bacterial SSU rRNA
Rfam family: Bacterial small subunit ribosomal RNA
Source: RNAcentral